CCUUGGCAGCUUGCUGCCGGGGUGAGAGUGGCGAACGGGUGAGUAAUGCGUGACCGACCUGCCCCAUGCACCGGAAUAGCUCCUGGAAACGGGUGGUAAUGCCGGAUGUUCCACAUGAGCGCAUGCGAGUGUGGGAAAGGCUUUUUGCGGCAUGGGAUGGGGUCGCGUCCUAUCAGCUUGUUGGUGGGGUAACGGCCUACCAAGGCGUUGACGGGUAGCCGGCCUGAGAGGGCGACCGGCCACAUUGGGACUGAGAUACGGCCCAGACUCCUACGGGAGGCAGCAGUGGGGAAUAUUGCACAAUGGGCGCAAGCCUGAUGCAGCGACGCCGCGUGCGGGAUGGAGGCCUUCGGGUUGUAAACCGCUUUUGUUCAAGGGCAAGGCACGGUUUCGGCCGUGUUGAGUGGAUUGUUCGAAUAAGCACCGGCUAACUACGUGCCAGCAGCCGCGGUAAUACGUAGGGUGCAAGCGUUAUCCGGAUUUAUUGGGCGUAAAGGGCUCGUAGGCGGUUCGUCGCGUCCGGUGUGAAAGUCCAUCGCUUAACGGUGGAUCCGCGCCGGGUACGGGCGGGCUUGAGUGCGGUAGGGGAGACUGGAAUUCCCGGUGUAACGGUGGAAUGUGUAGAUAUCGGGAAGAACACCAAUGGCGAAGGCAGGUCUCUGGGCCGUUACUGACGCUGAGG
This 682-nucleotide ribosomal RNA is filed under the name Bifidobacterium pseudolongum. RNAcentral's name for it is "bacterial SSU rRNA". It matches the Rfam family "Bacterial small subunit ribosomal RNA", at positions 70 to 751 of the family's 1533-position model. The record is from RNAcentral. Lineage: Bacteria; Bacillati; Actinomycetota; Actinomycetes; Bifidobacteriales; Bifidobacteriaceae.